CGGAAGGGAAGAUAGACUCUUUAUGCUUUUCAUAAAGGUCUUCUAUUAGUUUUAAAUAUUCAACUCUUUCAAGUUGAUCAUUAGUAUUAGUAAAUUUUUCUUUCCAAUGUUCUAUAAGGGUUUUAUAGGACUGGAAAUCAUAUUCUUUUUGUUUAUCAUCUUUUUUAUGUUUUUUAUGUUUUUUUAUAAUUUUUUAACA
This 199-nucleotide long non-coding RNA is filed under the name Gossypium raimondii (Peruvian cotton). Its description in RNAcentral is "long non-coding RNA (GRAI_LNC001429)". Lineage: Eukaryota; Viridiplantae; Streptophyta; Magnoliopsida; Malvales; Malvaceae. The record is from RNAcentral.